GACGGGGCCCGCACAAGCGGUGGAGCAUGUGGUUUAAUUCGAUGAUACGCGAGGAACCUUACCUGGGCUCAAAUGUAUGUUGACGUAUUCUGAAAGGGAUACUUCUUCGGACAAUAUACAAGGUGCUGCAUGGUUGUCGUCAGCUCGUGCCGUGAGGUGUCGGGUUAAGUCCCAUAACGAGCGCAACCCCUAUCAUUAGUUGCCAUCAGGUCAAGCUGGGGACUCUAAUGAAACUGCCUACGCAAGUAGUGAGGAAGGUGGGGAUGACGUCAAAUCAGCACGGCCCUUACGUCCAGGGCUACACACGUGCUACAAUGGCCGGUACAAAGGGCAGCUACCUGGUGACAGGAUGCUAAUCUCAAAAGCCGGUCUCAGUACGGAUUGGAGUCUGAAACUCGACUUCAUGAAGUUGGAAUCGCUAGUAAUCGCGCAUCAGCAUGGCGCGGUGAAUACGUUCCCGGGCCUU
Molecule: ribosomal RNA, 466 nt
Filed under: uncultured Sphingobacteriales bacterium
Lineage: Bacteria; Pseudomonadati; Bacteroidota; Sphingobacteriia; Sphingobacteriales
Description: bacterial SSU rRNA
Rfam family: Bacterial small subunit ribosomal RNA
Source: RNAcentral